CCUACGGGGGGCUGCAGUGAGGAAUAUUGGUCAAUGGACGAGAGUCUGAACCAGCCAAGUAGCGUGAAGGAUGACUGCCCUAUGGGUUGUAAACUUCUUUUAUAAAGGAAUAAAACGAGGCACGUGUGCCUUUUUGCAUGUACUUUAUGAAUAAGGAUCGGCUAACUCCGUGCCAGCAGCCGCGGUAAUACGGAGGAUCCGAGCGUUAUCCGGAUUUAUUGGGUUUAAAGGGUGCGCAGGCGGAGGCACAAGUCAGCGGUAAAAUUGAGGGGCUAAACCCCGCCCCGCCGUUGAAACUGUGUCCCUUGAGUGCGCGAAGGGUAGGCGGAAUGCGUGGUGUAGCGGUGAAAUGCAUAGAUAUCACGCAGAACUCCGAUCGCGAAGGCAGCCUACCGGCGCGCAACUGACGCUCAUGCACGAAAGCGUGGGUAUCGAACAGGAUUAGAUACCCUUGUAGUC
RNAcentral lists this ribosomal RNA (459 nucleotides) under uncultured bacterium. RNAcentral describes it as "partial 16S ribosomal RNA". It matches the Rfam family "Bacterial small subunit ribosomal RNA", at positions 338 to 795 of the family's 1533-position model. The record is from RNAcentral.